This 253-nucleotide ribosomal RNA is filed under the name uncultured bacterium. Its description in RNAcentral is "partial 16S ribosomal RNA". It matches the Rfam family "Bacterial small subunit ribosomal RNA", at positions 524 to 776 of the family's 1533-position model. The record is from RNAcentral.
AACGUAGGUUCCGAGCGUUAUCCGGAUUUACUGGGCGUAAAGCGCGUUCAGGCGGUUUGGCAAGUCGGGCAUGAAAUCUCUCGGCUCAACCGGGAGAGGUUGUCCGAUACUGCUGGACUUGAGGGCAGUAGAGGGUGGUGGAAUUCCGGGUGUAGUGGUGAAAUGCGUAGAUAUCCGGAGGAACACCAGUGGCGAAAGCGGUCACCUGGACUGUACCUGACGCUGACACGCGAAAGCGUGGGGAGCAAACAGG